RNAcentral lists this ribosomal RNA (253 nucleotides) under uncultured bacterium. Its description in RNAcentral is "partial 16S ribosomal RNA". It matches the Rfam family "Bacterial small subunit ribosomal RNA", at positions 524 to 776 of the family's 1533-position model. The record is from RNAcentral.
UACGAGGGGGCCAAGCGUUGUCCGGAAUCAUUGGGCGUAAAGCGCGUGUAGGCGGCUCGGUAAGUCCGCUCUGAAAGUCCAGGGCUCAACCCUGGGAUGCGGGUGGAUACUGCUGGGCUCGAGUCCGGAAGAGGCGAGUGGAAUUCCCGGUGUAGCGGUGAAAUGCGCAGAUAUCGGGAGGAACACCAAUGGCGAAGGCAGCUCGCUGGGACGUGACUGACGCUGAGACGCGAAAGCGUGGGGAGCGAACCGG